UUCGAAUCGAGUUGAGUUUUCGAAUUCAAAUAACUCGAAUAAUUCGAAUAAUUCGAAUAUCAAACUAUAAUAUUUUACAUUUUUACCCCAAACUCCCAAACCUUUUUACUUUUUCCUCAAAACUUUUACUCCUUCCCACUUUCUCCCCAAAACUUUUACUCCUUCCCACUUUCUCCCCAAAACUUUUACUCCCCUCCCCUCCCAACCCUCCGAUCUACCCAAAAUCCAUUUCCCACCAAAAUUUUACUCUCCCAUUUAUUUUUUCUCAAAAUUUUACUCCCAAAAACCCUUAAAACCUUUUAUUUUCCCCCAAAAUUUUUACUCCCUCCCACUUUUCCCCUAAAACUUUUAUUCUCUUCCCAUCUCAUCUCCCAUCUAUCCCAAACCCUCCCCCCUCCAAUUUUUUUUUAAUAUUUUCCCUCCAAAAUUUUACUCCCCCUAUUUACUUUCCCUCAAACUUUUAUUCCCCAAAACUUUUUAUUUUUCCUCUAAACUUUUACUUCUCACCCUUU
Molecule: long non-coding RNA, 512 nt
Filed under: Gossypium raimondii (Peruvian cotton)
Lineage: Eukaryota; Viridiplantae; Streptophyta; Magnoliopsida; Malvales; Malvaceae
Description: long non-coding RNA (GRAI_LNC009795)
Source: RNAcentral